AUUGAACGCCGGCGGCAUGCUCUACACAUGCAAGUCGAACGGUAACAGGCCGCAAGGUGCUGACGAGUGGCGAACGGGUGAGUAAUGCAUCGGAACGUGCCCAGUCGUGGGGGAUAACUACUCGAAAGAGUAGCUAAUACCGCAUACGAUCUAUGGAUGAAAGCGGGGGACCGUAAGGCCUCGCGCGAUUGGAGCGGCCGAUGUCAGAUUAGGUAGUUGGUGGGGUAAAGGCUCACCAAGCCAACGAUCUGUAGCUGGUCUGAGAGGACGACCAGCCACACUGGGACUGAGACACGGCCCAGACUCCUACGGGAGGCAGCAGUGGGGAAUUUUGGACAAUGGGCGCAAGCCUGAUCCAGCAAUGCCGCGUGCAGGAAGAAGGCCUUCGGGUUGUAAACUGCUUUUGUACGGAACGAAACGGCUCUGGUUAAUACCCGGGGCUAAUGACGGUACCGUAAGAAUAAGCACCGGCUAACUACGUG
This 482-nucleotide ribosomal RNA is filed under the name uncultured bacterium. RNAcentral describes it as "partial 16S ribosomal RNA". It matches the Rfam family "Bacterial small subunit ribosomal RNA", at positions 30 to 507 of the family's 1533-position model. The record is from RNAcentral.